Molecule: ribosomal RNA, 774 nt
Filed under: uncultured bacterium
Lineage: Bacteria
Description: bacterial SSU rRNA
Rfam family: Bacterial small subunit ribosomal RNA
Source: RNAcentral
UAGAGUUUGAUCCUGGCUCAGAUUGAACGCUGGCGGCAGGCCUAACACAUGCAAGUCGAGCGGUAACACAGAGGAGCUUGCUCCUUGGGUGACGAGCGGCGGACGGGUGAGUAAUGCCUGGGGAUCUGCCCGGUAGAGGGGGAUAACUACGGGAAACUGUAGCUAAUACCGCAUAAUGUCUACGGACCAAAGUGGGGGCUCUUCGGACCUCAUGCUAUCGGAUGAACCCAGGUGGGAUUAGCUAGUUGGUGAGGUAAUGGCUCACCAAGGCGACGAUCUCUAACUGGUUUGAGAGAAUGACCAGUCACACUGGAACUGAGACACGGUCCAGACUCCUACGGGAGGCAGCAGUGGGGAAUAUUGCACAAUGGGCGCAAGCCUGAUGCAGCCAUGCCGCGUGUGUGAAGAAGGCCUUCGGGUUGUAAAGCACUUUCAGCGGGGAGGAAGGGCUACUAGCUAAUACCUAGUGGCAUUGACGUUACUCGCAGAAGAAGCACCGGCUAACUCCGUGCCAGCAGCCGCGGUAAUACGGGAGGGUGCAAGCGUUAAUCGGAAUUACUGGGCGUAAAGCGCCCGCAGGCGGUUUGUUAAGUCAGAUGUGAAAUCCCCGAGCUCAACUUGGGAACUGCAUUUGAAACUGGCAAGCUAGAGUCUUGUAGAGGGGGGUAGAAUUCCAGGUGUAGCGGUGAAAUGCGUAGAGAUCUGGAGGAAUACCGGUGGCGAAGGCGGCCCCCUGGACAAAGACUGACGCUCAGGUGCGAAAGCGUGGGGAGC